RNAcentral lists this ribosomal RNA (433 nucleotides) under uncultured bacterium. Its description in RNAcentral is "partial 16S ribosomal RNA". It matches the Rfam family "Bacterial small subunit ribosomal RNA", at positions 29 to 507 of the family's 1533-position model. The record is from RNAcentral.
AACGAACGCUGGCGGUAUGCCUAACACAUGCAAGUCGAACGAGACCUUCGGGUCUAGUGGCGCACGGGUGCGUAACGCGUGGGAACCUGCCCUUAGGUUCGGAAUAACUCCCCGAAAGGGGUGCUAAUACCGGAUAAUGUCUUCGGACCAAAGAUUUAUCGCCUUUGGAUGGGCCCGCGUUGGAUUAGCUUGUUGGUAGGGUAAAAGCCUACCAAGGCGACGAUCCAUAGCUGGUCUGAGAGGAUGAUCAGCCACACUGAGACUGAGACACGGCCCAGACUCCUACGGGAGGCAGCAGUGGGGGAUAUUGGACAAUGGGGGGGAGCCUGAUCCAGCAAUGCCGGGAGAGUGAUGAAGGCCUUAGGGUUGUAAAGCUCUUUUACCCGGGAUGAUAAUGACAGUACCGGGAGAAUAAGCUCCGGCUAACUCCGUG